GAUGAACGCUGGCGGCGUGCUUAACACAUGCAAGUCGAACGGAAAGGCCCAAGCUUGCUUGGGUACUCGAGUGGCGAACGGGUGAGUAACACGUGGGUGAUCUGCCCUGCACUUCGGGAUAAGCCUGGGAAACUGGGUCUAAUACCGGAUAGGACGAUGGUUUGGAUGCCAUUGUGGAAAGUUUUUUCGGUGUGGGAUGAGCUCGCGGCCUAUCAGCUUGUUGGUGGGGUAAUGGCCUACCAAGGCGUCGACGGGUAGCCGGCCUGAGAGGGUGUACGGCCACAUUGGGACUGAGAUACGGCCCAGACUCCUACGGGAGGCAGCAGUGGGGAAUAUUGCACAAUGGGCGCAAGCCUGAUGCAGCGACGCCGCGUGGGGGAUGACGGCCUUCGGGUUGUAAACUCCUGUCGCUAGGGACGAAGCGUUUUUGUGACGGUACCUGGGGAAGAAGCACCGGCUAACUACGUG
Molecule: ribosomal RNA, 468 nt
Filed under: uncultured bacterium
Lineage: Bacteria
Description: partial 16S ribosomal RNA
Rfam family: Bacterial small subunit ribosomal RNA
Source: RNAcentral